UACGGGGGGGGCAAGCGUUGUUCGGAAUUACUGGGCGUAAAGGGCUCGUAGGUGGCCAACUAAGUCAGACGUGAAAUCCCUCAGCUUAACUGGGGAACUGCGUCUGAUACUGGAUGGCUUGAGUUUGGGAGAGGGAUGCGGAAUUCCAGGUGUAGUGGUGAAAUGCGUAGAUAUCUGGAGGAACACCGGUGGCGAAGGCGGUGAUCUGGGCCGACACUGACGCUGUAGAGCGAAAGCGUGGGGAGCGAACAGG
This 253-nucleotide ribosomal RNA is filed under the name uncultured bacterium. Its description in RNAcentral is "partial 16S ribosomal RNA". It matches the Rfam family "Bacterial small subunit ribosomal RNA", at positions 524 to 776 of the family's 1533-position model. The record is from RNAcentral.